UGGUCGUCAUCGCGGCAGCGGCCGGCUGCUCACACCGGCCCGAGACGGCCCCGUCGACAAGCCGGCGUUCCACUCGUCGACGGGCGGC
Molecule: transfer RNA, 88 nt
Filed under: Streptomyces xantholiticus
Lineage: Bacteria; Bacillati; Actinomycetota; Actinomycetes; Kitasatosporales; Streptomycetaceae
Description: tRNA-Val
Source: RNAcentral